GCUCUUGUAGCUCAACGGGUAGAGCACUCGAUCAGGAGUGUUUGAUCGAGAUGGAUGUGGGUCCGAAUCCCAUCAAGGGCC
Molecule: transfer RNA, 81 nt
Organism: Gonium pectorale
Lineage: Eukaryota; Viridiplantae; Chlorophyta; Chlorophyceae; Chlamydomonadales; Volvocaceae
Rfam family: tRNA
About the family: Transfer RNA (tRNA) molecules are approximately 80 nucleotides in length. Their secondary structure includes four short double-helical elements and three loops (D, anti-codon, and T loops).
Source: Rfam